UAAAGUGCUUAUAGUGCAGGUAGUAUAUUAUCUACAUCUACUGCAAUGUGAGCACUUCCAGU
Salmo trutta (river trout) is the source of this 62-nucleotide microRNA precursor. Ensembl annotates it as microRNA 20a. Its record names the gene MIR20A. NCBI's taxonomy places the organism in Eukaryota, Metazoa, Chordata, Actinopteri, Salmoniformes, Salmonidae. The record is from Ensembl.